AGAGAUGUGAGGGUCCAAGUGUGAUUCAAGUUUAAAGCCUCUAAUUCAGUUUGCAUGGCUUCUUCCCAGCAAUCAUGUUUUACAGCUUCAGCAUAGGAAUGUGGUUCAGUGAUGGUAGAGAUGGAGGUAAUGAAUGAUUGAAAAUUUUGAGAAAAAUUAGAAUAAGAGAGAAAAUCUUGAAUAGGGUAGCGCAUACCUUGAUGAAGAUUGGUGGAAGUUGAUAUGAGAUAGUGAUGGUAAUCUUGCAGAUAAGAUGGAGGAUGACGAGAACGACUGGACUGCCUCAGUGAAGGUAUAGGUGAAAUUGAUUGAGUAGGAUGGGGAAUAGUAAUGGGAGUAGGUGGAGGGGAUGAAACAAGAACUAAAUCAGGGAAAAUAUAAACAAAGGGAGUAGGUGAAACAGUGGAAAUAUCA
Molecule: long non-coding RNA, 414 nt
Filed under: Vigna radiata
Lineage: Eukaryota; Viridiplantae; Streptophyta; Magnoliopsida; Fabales; Fabaceae
Description: long non-coding RNA (VRAD_LNC012204)
Source: RNAcentral